This 253-nucleotide ribosomal RNA is filed under the name uncultured bacterium. RNAcentral's name for it is "partial 16S ribosomal RNA". It matches the Rfam family "Bacterial small subunit ribosomal RNA", at positions 524 to 776 of the family's 1533-position model. The record is from RNAcentral.
UACGUAGGGACCGAGCGUUGUCCGGAAUCAUUGGGCGUAAAGAGCUCGUAGGCGGUCUGUCGCGUCGGCUGUGAAAACCUGGGGCUUAACUCCGGGCUUGCAGCCGAUACGGGCAGACUAGAGUUCGGCAGGGGAGACUGGAAUUCCUGGUGUAGCGGUGAAAUGCGCAGAUAUCAGGAGGAACACCGGUGGCGAAGGCGGGUCUCUGGGCCGAAACUGACGCUGAGGAGCGAAAGCGUGGGGAGCAAACAGG